GCUUAAAGGGGCCGUAGCUUGAUAAUAGGGUCCCUUGAGAAAUCCGCCGGCUUAACUGGCGGGCGUUCAGGGGAAACUUGUUUUCUAGGGACCGGGAGAGGCGAGGGGUACUGCCGGGGUAGGAGUGAAAUCCUGUAAUCCCGGUGGGACCACCUAUGGCGAAGGCAUCUCACCAGAACGGGUCCGACAGUGAGGGACGAAAGCUGGGGGAGCAAACCGGAUUAGAUACCCGGGUAGUCCCAGCUGUAAACUAUGUGCGUUAGGUGUGUCAGUGACCACGUGUCACUGAGGUGCCGAAGGGAAACCGUGAAACGCACCGCCUGGGGAGUACGGUCGCAAGGCUGAAACUUAAAGGAAUUGGCGGGGGAGCACCACAACGGGUGGAGCCUGCGGUUUAAUCGGACUCAACGCCGGGAAUCUCACCGGAUAAGACAGCUGAAUGAUAGUCGGGAUGAAGACUCUACUUGACUAGCUGAGAGGAGGUGCAUGGCCGUCGUCAGUUCGUACUGUGAAGCAUCCUGUUUAGUCAGGCAACGAGCGAGACCCACGCGAGCAGUUGCCAGCUUGACCUUCGGGUUGAUGGGGACACUGCUCGGACCGCCUCUGCUAAAGGGGAGGAAGGACUGGGCAACGGUAGGUCAGCAUGCCCCGAAUUAUCCGGGCUACACGCGGGCUACAAUGGACAGGACAAUGAGUUUCGACACCGAGAGGUGAGGAUAAUCUUCUAACCCUGUCCCAAGUUCGGAUUGCGGGUUGUAACUCACCCGCAUGAAGCUGGAAUCCGUAGUAAUCGCGUUUCAACAUACCGCGGUGAAUAUGUCCCUGCUCCUUGCACUCACCGCC
RNAcentral lists this ribosomal RNA (843 nucleotides) under uncultured prokaryote. Its description in RNAcentral is "bacterial SSU rRNA". It matches the Rfam family "Archaeal small subunit ribosomal RNA", at positions 508 to 1350 of the family's 1478-position model. The record is from RNAcentral.